Molecule: long non-coding RNA, 2072 nt
Filed under: Theobroma cacao (cacao)
Lineage: Eukaryota; Viridiplantae; Streptophyta; Magnoliopsida; Malvales; Malvaceae
Description: long non-coding RNA (TCAC_LNC004932)
Source: RNAcentral
UCUUAUUCAUUCUUCAUGUUCGGCCUCACCAAGGAAAAGAGGAAAGAAAGAAAGAACAAAACCCUAGUUAGAAAAUUCAAGAGAAAAUUGGUGGAUUUCAAGGAAUUAAGCAAGUAAAGGUAAAAUUUCUUGAUUUUAGCUUAUGAUCUACCUUUCCUAUGCAUUCUUUUUCAUUUUCCAUGGUUGAGAAUCAAGUUUGCAUGAGGAUACCUUUGUUGGCUAGACAUGGGGGGGGAGGAGUUUUGAUCUUGGAUUUAGCUAGAUUUUAUGUUAUUCUAGUGUUUUUAGUUGUUUGGUGAUGUGUAGCAUAAAAAGCAAACAAGAAAAAUUCAUGUUCUUACAUCACCCUCAUUGGCCGAAUCUUCCUUAUGGUAUGUUGAUGGUGGAUUUGAUUUUAUUUCAAGUGAUUUGGUUAGGAAUUAAUGAUUUAUGGUGUAAAAAUCAAGUGUGAAAAACCAUAGUGUUUAUCAAGUGUGAAAAAUGAGUUUAAAUGGUAAAUCUUUAUGUUUUAUAAGAAAAAUGUGAUUAAAUGAAAUGAUUUUAUAAAAUUGUCUUGAAAUUGAAUGAUGGUUUUGAAAAUGGAGUAAUUGGAGACUUCUUGUUGUGUUAUAAAUCAUAGUUGAAUUGAAUGGCUUAUGAUAAUGUGGGCAUGAGUGGCUGGAUUGGUAAUUGUGCUAAACAUAUAUGAACUGUUGUUUUGCCUUGACAUGCUGUGUUGUAAAAUAAUUGCCACAUCAUGCUAUUGGAAUUUUAUUCAUUUGGUGGGAUAUCGAUUAGCUUACUGCAGUGGGUGGGUUUCUAUGCACCAGCCUAUUAGAGGGGCACGGUAAAUCCCGUUACAUUUUAUUUUACCUCAAUACGAGAGGCGCGGAGGGUAACUUCUGAGGUAAAGUUUAGAGUUCACUUCACACCGAACCACCACGUGAGGGUGAACUCAGCCAACGCCAAGGAAUGGCUAUGUUUUAAAACGUACAAAUAUGAUUUAUGGAUACAUGUCUUUUCUUUAACAGCCUUGGCAGACUCAGUUGGAUGCCUCUUAUCAAGGUAUCCCCAAGAAUGAGUUUUGGCAUGAGCCAAGUUUUUAAGAGAUUCAUAAGCCUCGUUGUAUAUUUUGGAUGAAAUGUAAUUGGUUUAGAUGAUUUGAAAUGUGUUUUGGAGUUAUGAACCAUCUUAUGAUGAUCUAUUUUAAUCGUCUCCAUUGACUCGGCUUUAGAUAUUUUAGAUGAUGUUUGUUUACUCACUGAGUUUAUAUAAACUCACCACCCUCUUUUCCACUCAUUUCAGGCUCAGAAUAGUCAGUAGAUAGCUGAUUUCGUUGAGGGCUACAGUUGGAUUUGCAUCCUCAAAAAUCGUAGGUUCACAGCCUUCGUUACUUUUGGUCAUUCGGGGGUCCACAUGUCAUUGUAAAUUAAAUUACAUACUCUGGUUAUCUAUGUUACUGUAUGUAAGAAUUUAUUUUGCUUUUACGCUACAAAAAUUAUUUACAGAUAUCUCUAUAAAAAUUGUUUUAUAAGAAAAUGAAAUAUUUUAUUCAAUAUUUUUAUUUUAUUCUAAUAGCUAUCAUUUCACUUUAAAUGAAUGUUUUAGACAUCUAAACUUAUUUUUGGUUAUGAAAUAUGUAUCUUUCACUCAUAUACUACAUUUUUAGAUGGUUUUGAAAUUUUUGGGGAAAAAUGACCAAAAUACCCUUGUGAGACGAAAAUUAUUUUCUUUAUUGUUUUGGUUUGGAAAUAGCUUAUAAUCUUUUAAAAUAUGAUAUUAUCAACUGUUGCUAGCAGGGGAGGUGAGAAAACUGAUAUUAAAGCCUUGCGGGGUUUUGGCUGGCAUUUCGGGUAAUGAAUGUCUAUCGAAACAUCGCGGCGAUUGUCACGGGCUCGAAAAGAGUACCGGAUCAUGACAUUGUUUCCUGUUAAUUGGUUGAUUAUUGUUAAAAUAAAGAUUAGUUUCUUGAAUUCAUGAUUUGAAUGAAUGUUAUUUUGUUGAUCUUGCUUGCAUAAUAAUUGUUGCAAUAAGAUUUGCAUAUCAUUUCAUACUCAUGCAUCAUUCAAAACCAAAAGCUAUGUGCACUAAAC